Molecule: long non-coding RNA, 377 nt
Organism: Lethenteron reissneri (Far Eastern brook lamprey)
Lineage: Eukaryota; Metazoa; Chordata; Hyperoartia; Petromyzontiformes; Petromyzontidae
Source: RefSeq, a predicted model, not a curated record
GGGAGACGGCGACAGACCCGCGGUAUAUCCGAGUCCCCGCGGUAUAAGCGACGGCGUUAUAACCGGGGAGCGCUGUAGUGAUUUAAGGCUGAGUCGACCUAGCGGAGGUCCAUGACCGGUAAAAAAAAUUCGGCAACGUGACGACUGGCGACUGGUCGUGGUGAGCUCGGAUCGAACUGGGACAGCCGGAAGCGUGGCGCCGCUCAGCUGGCUUGGAGCGGCAAGAUGCAGGACACAACGAAGCUCACAACGUGCUGAACGCUUUCAAGCUCUCAAUUCAGUGUCAAUGUUAACUCGCCACCGCUGCCGAUUUAAGGCUGAGUCGACCUAGGGCGGAGGGAACACGGCACCGACGUGAGCCGUGGCGCUGGAGGGGG